This 283-nucleotide ribosomal RNA is filed under the name uncultured Dialister sp. Its description in RNAcentral is "partial 16S ribosomal RNA". It matches the Rfam family "Bacterial small subunit ribosomal RNA", at positions 76 to 339 of the family's 1533-position model. Lineage: Bacteria; Bacillati; Bacillota; Negativicutes; Veillonellales; Veillonellaceae. The record is from RNAcentral.
AAGCUUGCUUCUUUCAAAUCUAGUGGCAAACGGGUGAGUAACACGUAAACAACCUGCCUUCAGGAUGGGGACAACAGACGGAAACGACUGCUAAUACCGAAUACGUUCCUUAGGUCGCAUGAUCUUAGGAAGAAAGGGUGGCCUCUACCUGUAAGCUAUCGCCUGAAGAGGGGUUUGCGUCUGAUUAGGUAGUUGGUGAGGUAACGGCCCACCAAGCCGACGAUCAGUAGCCGGUCUGAGAGGAUGAACGGCCACACUGGAACUGAGACACGGUCCAGACUCC